This 484-nucleotide ribosomal RNA is filed under the name uncultured bacterium. RNAcentral's name for it is "partial 16S ribosomal RNA". It matches the Rfam family "Bacterial small subunit ribosomal RNA", at positions 29 to 507 of the family's 1533-position model. The record is from RNAcentral.
AGUGAACGCUGGCGGCAGGCCUAACACAUGCGAGUCGAGCGGAAGAAGGGUGCUUGCUCCUGGAUUCAGCGGGCGACGGGUGGGUGAGGCCGAGGAAUCUGCGUGUCUGCUUUGUAGAACGUCCGAAAGCGGGCGCUCAUACGCCAUUAGUCCAUACGGAGUACGGGGGGGAGCUUCGGAUCUUCCGCUCUCGGAUGAUCCGAGGUCGGAUUAGCUAGUUGGUGGGGUAAAGGCCUACCAAGGCGACGAUCCGUAGCUGGUCUGAGAGGAUGAUCAGCCACACUGGAACUGAGACACGGUCCAGACUCCUACGGGAGGCAGCAGUGGGGAAUAUUGGACAAUGGGCGAAAGCCUGAUCCAGCCAUGCCGCGUGUGUGAAGAAGGUCUUCGGAUUGUAAAGCCCUUUUGGUUGGAAAGAAAAGCAGUAAGUUAAUACCUUGCUGUUCUGACGGUACCCAAAGAAUAAGCACCGGCUAACUUCGUG